GAUGAACGCUGGCGGCGUGCCUAAUACAUGCAAGUCGAGCGAACAGACGAGGAGCUUGCUCCUCUGACGUUAGCUGCUGACGGGUGAGUAACACGUGGAUAACCUACCUAUAAGACUGGGAUAACUUCGUGAAACCGUAGCUAAUACCGUAUAAUAUAUUGAACCUCAUGGUUCAAUACUUAAAGACGGUUUUGCUGUCACUUAUUUAUUGAUCCUCGCCGCAUUAGCUAGUUGGUAAGGUAACGGCUUACCACGGCAACGAUGCGUAGCCUACCUGAGAGGAUGAUAGGCAAAACUGGAACUGAAACACGGUACAGACUCCUACGGGAGGGAGAAGAAGGGAAUCUGCGGCAAUGGGCGAAAGACUGAAGGAGCAACGCAACGUGAGUGAUGAAGGAAUUCGGAUCGUAAAACUAUGUUAUUAGGGAAGAACAAAUGUGUAAGUAACUAUGAACGUAUUGACGGUACCAAAUCAGAAAGCAACGGCUAAAUAAGUG
This 497-nucleotide ribosomal RNA is filed under the name uncultured bacterium. Its description in RNAcentral is "partial 16S ribosomal RNA". It matches the Rfam family "Bacterial small subunit ribosomal RNA", at positions 28 to 507 of the family's 1533-position model. The record is from RNAcentral.